This is a long non-coding RNA of Lates calcarifer (barramundi perch), 544 nucleotides long. RefSeq lists it as uncharacterized. The transcript is spliced from 3 exons. Lineage: Eukaryota; Metazoa; Chordata; Actinopteri; Centropomidae. The record is from RefSeq and is a predicted model, not a curated record.
CGGGAAUAUCGGCCAUUUUGGUAGCUACCAUGGAAACGUAAUAAAAAUCUGUUGCUACUCAGGUUUUCACGUCCUAAGAAGCUGGAUAACGUCUGUUUCUCGUUGGAAACGUCCGUUUCAGUGGGAACUGUUCUGGUGGAGAGCACAGAUUUACCUGGAUCAACACCUGAGGAGGAUGAGCACAUGCAGAACCUGAUGGACUUUUCUUUCUCUCUUCUAAAGAAACACCAGCAUCAGCAACACAACUGCUGGUGUAGGUUGCAGUCAGGUGUCUCCAUCGUGGUCUCAUUUGUUGAUGGUAAUUAUACCACGUGUUUGUAAUUACUAUGACAAUGAUGCAUUGAUGUUUAAAAUGCACCUUUAACAUUUUAUUCACUAGGGAAAGUUAUUCAAGGUGCACAUGUUUUGUAUCAGCCACGGCCCGUUUCACAUUCAUAGAGAGCUACUUUGCAUUCAUUCACACCUGGCCAAUGCAAACCAGUCCUGAACAGCUGGCUGCUGGGACAGUGAGCUGGUUGAGAUGCACCUCUGUGGUGGCUGCUGA